GACGAACGCUGGCGGCGUGCUUAACACAUGCAAGUCGAGCGGUAAGGCCCUUUCGGGGGUACGACGAGCGGCGAACGGGUGAGUAACACGUGGGUGACCUGCCCUCCAGCUCUGGGAUAAGCCUGGGAAACCGGGUCUAAUACUGGAUAUGACUCCAUGACGCAUGUUGUGGGGUGGAAAGCCUUGUGCGGCUGAGGAUGGGCCCGCGGCCUAUCAGCUUGUUGGUGGGGUGAUGGCCUACCAAGGCGACGACGGAUAGCCGGCCUGAGAGGGCGACCGGCCACACUGGGACUGAGACACGGCCCAGACUCCUACGGGA
Molecule: ribosomal RNA, 319 nt
Filed under: uncultured bacterium
Lineage: Bacteria
Description: bacterial SSU rRNA
Rfam family: Bacterial small subunit ribosomal RNA
Source: RNAcentral